Molecule: small nuclear RNA, 83 nt
Filed under: Yponomeuta evonymella (bird-cherry ermine moth)
Lineage: Eukaryota; Metazoa; Arthropoda; Insecta; Lepidoptera; Yponomeutidae
Description: partial U1
Source: RNAcentral
UUAUCCACAUUAGGGAUAAUCGCAGGGGUCAACCCAACCGCAGUGCAAUGGAAGAGCCUCGCCCUGGGGGAACCGCCUACUUG